AGGAAAAGGAGAGCCUGGUACACUACUGGGCAUUGGCGGCUGCACCUACCCUGACAUCUGAAGUUCCAACAGAGUGACAAGAUGAGCAAAAAGGGAGGAAGAUAGCCUUGACUACUUCCGUGGGAAGCUCAGCUUUGAGAUGAUGCAGGAAACCUGCAUUACAUCCAGUUGUAUCAACUAGGGUCAGAAUGACAAGCAACACCUACAGCAUGUGGGCCGCUUUGACCCCGUGACCCAGAGGUGCAGCUCAUCCAAACAUGGCCAUGAAGGAAGUCACGAUACAUUUGCCUCUGAGAAUGGCUGGAUAGAAGACUACGCCUGGAUCCCUGACCCUGAAGUGUCUGGAGACAAAAGUUGCAAUACCUAUAUAUAGUUUAUGUUACACCAAAAUAUCUGAAGAAAACUGUACUAUUGUCCAGUAUUGAAGACAGAAAACACAUUUUGAGAUGUAUUUUAGUCCAAAAUAAUUGAAAAAAAACUAUUAUGUGUACUUCCUAAAAUUAUGUCCAUAUUAUCCAUGUACAAAAGAAACUAUGAUACAGUGUAAAAAUGUGUUUUGUCACUGUAUUAAUAAACUGUGACUGGUUUCAAGAUUAUACAUA
Long non-coding RNA from Mastomys coucha (southern multimammate mouse), 602 nucleotides. RefSeq lists it as uncharacterized. NCBI's taxonomy places the organism in Eukaryota, Metazoa, Chordata, Mammalia, Rodentia, Muridae. The transcript has 2 exons. The record is from RefSeq and is a predicted model, not a curated record.